Arachis ipaensis is the source of this 3507-nucleotide non-coding RNA. NCBI's taxonomy places the organism in Eukaryota, Viridiplantae, Streptophyta, Magnoliopsida, Fabales, Fabaceae. The record is from RefSeq and is a predicted model, not a curated record.
UUCGAAGCCUAAAACUCUUCCAACACUUUGUAUUCACCCUAAAAAGAAGAAAGUCCCUUCCAAAGAACCCUACCACUUCGAAAGAACCCAGUACUCUCCGCGACUCCAGCAAUCCGUAGAACAUCACCGGCGCUCCCUGUUCCGGCACACUAACCCUUACCCCUUUUUAAUUCACAAACCCUAACCUAACACCCACCGCACUCCUCCCAUUUCCCCUCACAACAGCGCCGCAGCCUCACUCCCCCUUUUCCCCUCUCCAGCGCACACAACACAAUACACACACGCACCACCUCACCCACGCGGAAGAGGAGAGCUCGAGGAAGGAGACAACGCCUUGCUGCCAGCUCCGUCGAAGACCAGCCCACCGCUGCUGUCGAGUCAAACCCAAGAGAGAGAGAGAGUGUGCAACGAUGAGAGAGGAAGAGCCGUUACUAAACGCGUCGCCGCCGUUGGAGGAGCUUCGCUCUUCGCCAUCACCGAGGAGGGGAAAGAGGACCUGCUCCCGUCGCGCCAGUCACCGUCGUGCUUCCUGGUUGCCGAUGAGGGAGCCGCGAGAACCGUUGCCGUCGCAAGAAGGGGGACGCACGAGAGGGAGCCCUCAGUGUGAUCGCUGUCGCAGCUGUUGAGUAAAUCUUCGUGGUUUUGCAUUUUACAGAUUCGACAAGAAAGGGAACCGGUGGAAGGAGAGAACCGAUGGUACCGUCAAGUUCCCGAAGAACAAGGUUACUAGAAAGGUUUGGCUUCUCAUCUGAACAAAAUUGAUUUGUGCUUCUUUGUUUAUGUUGUCUAUUCUCUGAUUCAUUUGUGCUUCCCUAGUUCUCUGAUUCUUCCGUUCAUAAGUAGUUAGAGAAGUUUACAUUAUAUUUGUUUGAGCCUCAUAUAAUAAUGUCGAACGUGGUUCUUUUGCUGUCAUUAUAGUAGUUAAAUCUAAGAAGGUUAAUUGGUUUAUUUGUGCAACUAAUUUUGUUCUUUUUGUUUUGUGUUUAUGCUGAACAAAAUCAUUGCUGAGUGUAGUUCUUUAGCUGUAAGCAUUCCAAAUCAUUGAAAAAGGUAAUUCAUGGAUUCCAUAUUUUUUUCAUUUGAAAAUUAUACUAGAACAAUAUAAUAUGAUAUGAGAAGCUGUUAAUGAGCUUGAUUUAUAUUUAUAAGAAAUUAUAAACUGAUUGAUUGAAUAGCUUAUCUGCUUUUGCUUUGCUGCUGCUACCUGACUCUGUUCCAAUCUUAGCCUCAGGUGCCUUUUUCCUGUAUUUGCAUAACUUCUCUUAAGAGCUUCAAAAGCUUGAAGAGUAUUGCAUGAACCAGAAAUUCAUUGAUUCAAUGGUACCUAUAUAUUUAACUCUCUUAUUAAUGCUUUUACUUUGUUUAACUUUCUUCAGCACCGCUUGGUUCAUCUGUGUUUGACCUAAUGAGCUGAACUAAUUGAAAUCUCAAUAUUGAGUUGCUUGAUUCAUAGUACUAAGUUUGAUGAAAAGAAAAUUGAGUUGAUACUUAUUUAAUUUUUAUCAUUUUAUUUAUUUAACACCAUGUUUGUACUUGAUUAUUAUUAUUCAUAGUACCAGGUUUCCAUUGGAGUAGCUUGUAAUCUUUCUUGGCCUGCUGACCGUCUCAUGAUCCAAGUCCUAGAUGAUUUCUACGGAUCUCGUGGUUAAGGUGCAUAUAUUUUAAUUGUGCAGCGAGGAAUUAAGAAGUGGAAUUAAUUAAUUUGCUUUGUUUGUGUUGAUUUGUCGCAAAUGGUGGAAAUGGAAUGUCAGAGAUGGGUGAGCAAAGGGAUAAACAUAACAUACCAAAUAAGAGAGAACAGAACGGGGUACAAAGUGGGUGCGUUAAACACAAUUUGAUCAUCUGGACACAGGUCUUUAUGAAUAUGCUAAUAACAGAAUGUGCAGAUAUUGCUGGGACUCCUCCUGAUGGAUGUACUGAAAUACCAACUUGUCCAGUUUGCCUCGAGAGAUUGGACCCGGAUAGAAGUGGAAUACUCACUACACUUUGCGAUCACUCCUUUCAAUGCCCUUGUGUUUCAAAGUGGACAUACUUGUCUUGCCGGAUUUUUGAUGAUUACAACCCUCUUCUAACAUCUCAGCUGGAAACUCAAAGACAAGUAAGUUGACACUGAUGCUCCUGAAACUCAUUCUCUGGGAUAUUUUAAUAACUAUGGAAAACAGAGUCUUUGCUUUGGAUGUAUGAACUAGACUAUAUUAUGUCAUCAAGGUUGACUGGAAACUACUUGUUCCUGACAUAUCAUUAGAUGUAUUAUAAUUACAGGAGUAGUUAGAAUUUAGGGGUACUGAUACUGUUUCGUCUCUUUUUCCCCAUUUAGAUACCAUUUGUUAUAUCUAGUUUCGUCAAAAUCUAAUUUGACUGUCACUGUUUUAGGUGUCAAAAAUAGAAUAGGUUGUACCUCCUAUUCUCACCAAGUUAGGCAAGGUAAUGUUGUGCUUGUUAUCUUUUGAUAAACAUUCUGAUACAAGGUAGUCUAUGCUUAAUGACUUAUGGUAGUCAAUGGUCUAUUGGUAAAUCAAUAAGCAUUCCAAACAACAAUAGUAUGGAGUGGAUUCUUCACCUUGAUACGGAUGAAUUAAUGCACCCAGCGGGUGCUCAAGAGUAUUCUUUUGAGGCAGUUGCUUCUUGAGGUUCCAGGAAAUGUAGACAUGGUCAUAUUUCCCAACUAUGUGAGUAGAAUUUGCUGGUUCAUGCUUCCUUGAUGGAACUGGCAAUUACAAAGAUUCUGUACGUGGGAUUCCAAACUACUUUCUGACUUAUGAAAAUGGUAAAUCAGCUGCCUGUAUACAAGAUCAUCUUCGUCCAAAUGGUGCACACAGAUGGGAUAACUACAUGAAAUCCCCAAAUGAGAUCAAGUUGGAGGAGGCUGCUGUUUUGCAUUACACAUGCUAAAUUCUCAUACCUCACUUCCAGAUGUGAUCGCUGUGGUUGCAAACCUACCGAAGAUGUAAAAAGAUGCUUCAUGUUGGAAUUUGACAGAUCUUAAGUGCAAUUAUUCUCUGCUGCUACAAGGACAAUAACACAGCCAUGGCUGCUUUAGUUUCAACCAUAGGAGCUAUCAAAGGAACUCCAGUGAGUUUGAAUGGUUCUGGAGCUGUGGCUUCAUCAGCUCCCAAUUCACCAGCUUUCUUCGAAAGCAGCUUGAAGGUUACAUCAAGAAUCCAGAGCAGUAGCAAGGUUUCCUCUGGAAGCUUCAAGAUUGUGGCGAUCGAUGAGGACAAGUAAACAAAUAAGGACAGAUGGAAAGGGUUGGCCUAUGAUAUCUUAGGUGACCAGCAAGACAUCACAAGAGGGAAGGGUAUUUUGUAGUUUUUAGAGGAUGUAGAUAAUGUAAUAGUUGUUGGAAUUGUAAUGCAUGUAAUACAAAUUCAUGGGUAGUUGUUAUCACUUUGAUUUUUUGUUAGAGCUUGUCAUGUGAUCAACCACUAUAUUUGGUGUACAAGUUUAUGAAGGUUUUAUAUUGUCUAAAUUUUACAUUAUUUAUGAAUUUUGUUAGAUUUUAUUAUG